This 467-nucleotide ribosomal RNA is filed under the name uncultured bacterium. Its description in RNAcentral is "partial 16S ribosomal RNA". It matches the Rfam family "Bacterial small subunit ribosomal RNA", at positions 28 to 506 of the family's 1533-position model. The record is from RNAcentral.
GACGAACGCUGGCGGCGUGCUUAACACAUGCAAGUCGAACGGAAAGGCCCUGCUUUUGUGGGGUGCUCGAGUGGCGAACGGGUGAGUAACACGUGAGUAACCUGCCCUUGACUUUGGGAUAACUUCAGGAAACUGGGGCUAAUACCGGAUAGGAGCUCCUGCUGCAUGGUGGGGGUUGGAAAGUUUCGGCGGUUGGGGAUGGACUCGCGGCUUAUCAGCUUGUUGGUGGGGUAGUGGCUUACCAAGGCUUUGACGGGUAGCCGGCCUGAGAGGGUGACCGGCCAAAUGGGGACGGGGAAAAGGCCCAGACCCCUAGGGGGGGCAGAGGGGGGGAAUAUUGCAAAAGGGGGGGAAGCCGGAUGGAGCAACGCCGCGGGGGGGAUGACGGCCUUGGGGUUGUAAACCGCUUUCGCCUGGGACGAAGCGGGGGGGACGGUAAUGGGAAAAGAAGCACCGGCUAAAUACGU